Molecule: long non-coding RNA, 1352 nt
Organism: Papaver somniferum (opium poppy)
Lineage: Eukaryota; Viridiplantae; Streptophyta; Magnoliopsida; Ranunculales; Papaveraceae
Exons: 3
Source: RefSeq, a predicted model, not a curated record
GCCGCCCCUCUCUUCUUUUCUUCCCUUUCUCUGUCUCCUCUGCGUUUCUGUUGACGAAGAACUGAACCUGGGUAAUCGAAGAUAGUGAAGAUGAAAGUGAUCCGACCAAGGAAAGAAGAAGAUUUGUUAGGUACCCCAAAAGGAGUUUUAGGGUUGAGCUUUUCACUAGUAACAAAUACACUUUUAUCAUGAUUUGGAUUUGAAGUAUAUUGGUCUGGACAUGUUGACUAAUAUGAUUAUGUAAACCAAGAUGCUGAAUUUGUUUUGAUUUACUCCUGAUAACAUACCAUAGCUGAUUACCAAUGAUGAAGAGUUCUUUUCAAUGUGGAACAAGGCUGAAUAUCAAGAUGAUGGUUAUGUGCAUCUUUACUUCAAUAUUAGUGACAAGGUCUUGAGGUCUGGUGAUGAAUGACCAUAAUCUUUAGGGGUUACUAAUAAAGUUAUGUAUUUAACACCUACUAAGAAGGUGACAAGUGACUCUGAGAUGGUGUUUUCUACACCUAAGAAUAAUGUGACACAUGAAGAUGACUUUGCGUUUUCUACACCUAAGAACAAAGUUGUUAGCAAUUCAAAAUUAGCUUCUCCUGCUACUAGGAAAAGUACAAGGUUGGUUUGUAAGUCAAUUGAUGCUCAAAUAAAUGCUGCAUUUGAGAGGUUACUUUUGAAUGAUGAGGAUAUGUGCCACCCGGAUGAUAAUGUGGAUGUAGAGUGUGAGAACAUUCAACUAGAUAAUGUGGAAUAGGAUCUGUGUCAUCCAGUUGAUGAUGAUAGAAGUCCACCAUGCUCUGAUGAUGAGGAGAAUGAUAUUGACAUAGCUGGUGUCAGAGAUUUUGUUGACAGUUACUUUAAUGAUGAGUUCUGGCAGAACUUUAGAAAGGAAGGUAAUGCUGAAGCUUUUAGUAAUGUAUCUACAAACCAUUCAAAAUAGUUGCAGAUGGAGCAGUUAAAGAACUUCUCACCAGGAUGAUCAGCAGUUUGAGACAACAACAUUCUCCUAACACCAUUGCAAGAUUCAAAAAAAAUGGAAGAGAUGGUGGUUUUAUAGUACAUGGAGCAUAUUAUGACCGUUCAACGGUCAUAUUUGGGUGACAGAGCUGACGUGUCAGAUUUGCCAUGUCAUCAUGGAUGAUGUAUACAAGUAUCCACGUGUAAAGGUUCCACGUCAGCUUGUACAGUUAACUACCAAUAGUUAAAUGUUGAGGGCAGAUUUGUCCAUAUUUGAGUGUAAAUACGUGUGACGUGGCAACGAAUUUUUGAAAACAAAAAUUCGGAUGGGAAAACUUAACAGAGGUAUAUAUUUUUAAUUCUGUUUGAAAGAGUGGCAUAUUUGUAAUUACAAUUAUAAAGAGGGA